GACAGAGGGUGCAAACGUUGUUCGGAAUUACUGGGCAUAAAGCGCACGUAGGUGGUCCGCUAAGUCGCGUGUGAAAUCCCUCGGCUCAACCGAGGAAUUGCAUCCGAGACUGCAUUGCUAGAGUAUGGGAGAGGGAAGCGGAAUUUCUGGUGUAGCAGUGAAAUGCGUAGAUAUCAGAAGGAACAUCAGUGGCGAAGGCGGCUUCCUGGACCAAUACUGACGAUCAGGUGCGAAAGCGUGGGGAGCAAACAGG
Molecule: ribosomal RNA, 253 nt
Filed under: uncultured bacterium
Lineage: Bacteria
Description: partial 16S ribosomal RNA
Rfam family: Bacterial small subunit ribosomal RNA
Source: RNAcentral